This 491-nucleotide long non-coding RNA is filed under the name Daphnia pulicaria. Its description in RNAcentral is "uncharacterized LOC124335729, transcript variant X2". The record is from RNAcentral. Lineage: Eukaryota; Metazoa; Arthropoda; Branchiopoda; Diplostraca; Daphniidae.
GUGUGAACAGGGCGUGUGAGUGGGUUGAUUCCCGUUUUGCUUCAAUAUAUAAAGGCCAAAAUUUUAAACCGAAUGACACACCAACUUCUUCUCUGCUUCCGUAAGUCGUAUUGAAAAUGAAAAACUUCGCGUCGUUCGUUUGUUUGAUGCUCGUAUUGGUGGCUUCCACCUCCGCUUUGCCGGGAGUCGCUCGCGCUGCUCCACAAUGUCCGGAAAACGAAGCAGGCAACGUAGUUUUCUUCCCUGACACUACCAAUUGCCAGAAUUACUACAUGUGCUCGUGGGGCGUUGCCUACUUGAAAAGUUGCCCAGACAAUCUCUAUUGGAACAAAAACAUUAACGUUUGUGACCACCAAGUGAACGUCAAAUGUUAAACAACGAAUGCAAUCGAAAUGACCUACACGUAUUGACCAUUAAAAAAAUAAGAAAUGUGAAUUAAAUGAAUCAUUAAAAUACAAUAAGUGAGAAGUGAUGAGCAUCAGAAACAGAAA